Long non-coding RNA from Brassica rapa (field mustard), 853 nucleotides. RefSeq lists it as uncharacterized. Lineage: Eukaryota; Viridiplantae; Streptophyta; Magnoliopsida; Brassicales; Brassicaceae. The record is from RefSeq and is a predicted model, not a curated record.
GGCGGUUUCAAAGGUGAAGAAGAUGCAACGUUGAUGGACGUCGAGGUUUCGUUGCCGCAAGCUUCCAUGGCGGACGGUUUCAAAGGUGAAGAUGCGACGACGUCGAUAGACGGCAAAGUUUCGUUGCGGCAAGCUUCCAUGGCGGACGGUUUCAAAGGUGAAGAUGCGACGUUAACGGACGACAAGGUUUUGGAAGCUUGAUCAUGAGCCAUCGUCAGUCAGCGAAGAGUAUGGUCUCUCUUUUGGCGCGGGACUUUCUUCAAGAAUAUUUCCAAAGAGGCACGGAGUAACCGUUUUAACUUAUAUAAAGAGUCAAAACCGACUAAACGGAUCUUUGAGCAAUAACAAAAGCAAAAAAAUAAUAAUAAUAAUGAUAAUUAUACACACUUUUCAUUCAAUAAAAAAUAUUAAGAAGAAAAAAUCCAAAAAUAUAUAUAGAAAUUGAUAAAUCAGUGCAAAUAAAACCAGUUUUUAUUAUUAUUAUUUGUAUUUGAGUUCUUUAACCUAUCACUCAGUGAAAAUAAAACCAUAUUUUCAUAAAAUCUAGCACAUGGCAAAAAUCCAGAAUCCAAAAAACCAAACCGAAUCCGCACCAAAAAAAUAAUAUCAACCCAAACCGAAAUUGGUUGAAUAUCCGAACGAAUUCAAAAUUUUGGUACUUAGAGAACCAAAACCAAAUCCGACCCAAACCAAAAAAAUUCGGAUACCCGAAUGUAUCUGAAAUAGAUUAACAUACUUAAAUAUAUUAAUUAGUUUUUAGAUUUAAUAUAUAGAAAAUAUCUAAAAUAUAUUAGAUACUUUGAAAUUGUCUAAAAUAUUUAAAAAUAUAUACAAAUGGUCAAAAGUAAAUGUC